UAGCAGGGAAGAAGCGAAAGUGACGGUACCUGCAGAAAAAGCGCCGGCUAAUUACGUGCCAGCAGCCGCGGUAAUACGUAGGGCGCAAGCGUUAUCCGGAAUUAUUGGGCGUAAAGAGCUCGUAGGCGGUUUGUCGCGUCUGCUGUGAAAUCCGGAGGCUCAACCUCCGGCCUGCAGUGGGUACGGGCAGACUAGAGUGCGGUAGGGGAGAUUGGAAUUCCUGGUGUAGCGGUGGAAUGCGCAGAUAUCAGGAGGAACACCGAUGGCGAAGGCAGAUCUCUGGGCCGUAACUGACGCUGAGGAGCGAAAGGGUGGGGAGCAAACAGGCUUAGAUACCCUGGUAGUCCACCCCGUAAACGUUGGGAACUAGUUGUGGGGUCCAUUCCACGGAUUCCGUGACGCAGCUAACGCAUUAAGUUCCCCGCCUGGGGAGUACGGCCGCAAGGCUAAAACUCAAAGGAAUUGACGGGGACCCGCACAAGCGGCGGAGCAUGCGGAUUAAUUCGAUGCAACGCGAAGAACCUUACCAAGGCUUGACAUAUACGAGAACGGGCCAGAAAUGGUCAACUCUUUGGACACUCGUAAACAGGUGGUGCAUGGUUGUCGUCAGCUCGUGUCGUGAGAUGUUGGGUUAAGUCCCGCAACGAGCGCAACCCUCGUUCUAUGUUGCCAGCACGUAAUGGUGGGAACUCAUGGGAUACUGCCGGGGUCAACUCGGAGGAAGGUGGGGAUGACGUCAAAUCAUCAUGCCCCUUAUGUCUUGGGCUUCACGCAUGCUACAAUGGCCGGUACAAAGGGCUGCAAUACCGCGAGGUGGAGCGAAUCCCAAAAAGCCGGUCCCAGUUCGGAUUGAGGUCUGCAACUCGACCUCAUGAAGUCGGAGUCGCUAGUAAUCGCAGAUCAGCAACGCUGCGGUGAAUACGUUCCCGGGUCUUGUACACACCGCCCGUCAAGUCAUGAAAGUCGGUAACACCUGAAGCCGGUGGCCU
RNAcentral lists this ribosomal RNA (989 nucleotides) under Microbacterium sp. RNAcentral's name for it is "bacterial SSU rRNA". It matches the Rfam family "Bacterial small subunit ribosomal RNA", at positions 434 to 1436 of the family's 1533-position model. Lineage: Bacteria; Bacillati; Actinomycetota; Actinomycetes; Micrococcales; Microbacteriaceae. The record is from RNAcentral.